UACGUAGGGCGCAAGCGUUAUCCGGAAUUAUUGGGCGUAAAGAGCUCGUAGGCGGUUUGUCGCGUCUGCCGUGAAAGUCCGGGGCUCAACUCCGGAUCUGCGGUGGGUACGGGCAGACUAGAGUGCAGUAGGGGAGACUGGAAUUCCUGGUGUAGCGGUGAAAUGCGCAGAUAUCAGGAGGAACACCGAUGGCGAAGGCAAGUCUCUGGGCUGUAACUGACGCUGAGGAGCGAAAGCAUGGGGAGCGAACAGG
This 253-nucleotide ribosomal RNA is filed under the name uncultured bacterium. RNAcentral describes it as "partial 16S ribosomal RNA". It matches the Rfam family "Bacterial small subunit ribosomal RNA", at positions 524 to 776 of the family's 1533-position model. The record is from RNAcentral.